AGUCACUGGGAUGUAUCUAAACCCAGAGGCGCAGUGAAAGCGGGAGAGCCCUUGUGCUCUCUUGGGAGGAUGGCUGCCCUCCCCUGCAAGGGGUGGGGGCGUCCGCACUCCCGGGGCGCCUCGGCCUUCUGGCUAAGGCGCACCCGGAGCGUACACGUUGGGACCCGAAAGAUGGUGAACUAUGCCUGGUCAGGACGAAGUCAGGGGAAACCCUGAUGGAGGUCCGCAGCGAUUCUGACGUGCAAAUCGAUCGUCAGAGCUGGGUAUAGGGGCGAAAGACUAAUCGAACCAUCUAGUAGCUGGUUCCCUCCGAAGUUUCCCUCAGGAUAGCUGGCGUCCAUUUCGACCGGGACGAGUCUCAUCCGGUAAAGCGAAUGAUUAGAGGCCUUGGGGCCGAAACGACCUCAACCUAUUCUCAAACUUUAAAUGGGUGAGAUCUCCGGCUUGCUUGAUUGAAGCCGCGAGGUCUGGAUCAGGGUGCCAAGUGGGCCAUUUUUGGUAAGCAGAACCGGCGCUGUGGGAUGAA
This 526-nucleotide ribosomal RNA is filed under the name Pallidionicus sp. MD-2022. Its description in RNAcentral is "partial large subunit ribosomal RNA". It matches the Rfam family "Eukaryotic large subunit ribosomal RNA", at positions 689 to 1167 of the family's 3401-position model. The record is from RNAcentral. Lineage: Eukaryota; Metazoa; Arthropoda; Insecta; Blattodea; Blattidae.